Molecule: long non-coding RNA, 713 nt
Organism: Myotis daubentonii (Daubenton's bat)
Lineage: Eukaryota; Metazoa; Chordata; Mammalia; Chiroptera; Vespertilionidae
Exons: 3
Source: RefSeq, a predicted model, not a curated record
CACCAGCGCCCAAGCCCCGCCUCCUAGCGGGCAGCCAAUCAGAAAGGGGGGAGGCGGGCUCUCCCAUCUCUAAACCAAUGGCAAAGCUUGUUGGGGCGGGUCUAGGAAAUCAGUGCGGCGUGGGAAGAGGAGAGGGACCCGUACGCCCCCCUCCCCAGCCUCGACUGCACCCUUUCCGGCGCCGAGGCCGCAGUGCGCGUGCGCCUCCCCCCAGAGCGCCGGGGCCCAUUAGUCCAGGGCCUUCCCGGCCACCGUAGCGAAGGAGCUAGUCUUUGUCGGAGCUUCCGGGAAGUCUCCGGCGCACCACUUCCGCGGUCAUCCUUCCACAAAGAACAGUGGCCUCCAGCCCGGCUCGACGUCUUCAUUCAUUCAUUCCUCACGUGGCACGUAGGUGGCUCUUUGCGACCAGACCUGAACUGCUCUCUCCCGACCGUGUCCGUCUACCUGAUGGAGUCCCUCCUGCAGCUCAGCCUCGGGAACCAGGACCUGCAGCAGCGGCUUCUCCCGCUGCCAGAGUGCGAGCCAGCAGCCUCUCUGUCCUCUAAAGAGUUUCCAGGUCCCGGGCUCCUCGCUGACAGGGGACAUGAAUGGCUGUGAUUACAUGUUGCUGAUGAUCGAGCCUACAACCUAGGCAUGUGCCCUGACUGGGAAUCAAGCCCAUGACCUCCUGGUUCACAGGCCAGUGCUCAACCACUGAGCCACACCAACUAGGC